Molecule: long non-coding RNA, 360 nt
Organism: Patella vulgata (common limpet)
Lineage: Eukaryota; Metazoa; Mollusca; Gastropoda; Patellidae
Exons: 3
Source: RefSeq, a predicted model, not a curated record
GUCGAUGUCUACAAAUGAGCCUAUCUGUACAUUGUAUGAAUUAAAGAUGAAAUGAACAUCAUGAAAUAUUUUGUCAAUUCAGUUCAGCAGAUGUUACAGGUGUGAUCAAACUUCACCACAAGGAUGCAAUGGAAAAUAAUUUCAAAAAUGUUGUAAAAAAACUGGUUGAAUGGGGGAAGAACAAAAACAAGGGGAAGAGGAGGAGGAGACAGCUGCAGGAACAAUGAUAUUGACAUGGAUAAUUUAUAUGCCUUAUAACGACCAGUGAAUUCUUGUUGAAGCGUCGUGUGUAUAUAAUAUAGUGAUUGUUAUCCAUAGAACUGUGUUGUGUUAUAUGGAUGAAUAAAUUUUAUAAUUGAA